UACGUAGGGGGCAAGCGUUGUCCGGAUUUAUUGGGCGUAAAGAGCGUGUAGGCGGCCACACAGGUCAGCUGUGAAAACUCGAGGCUCAACCUCGAGACGUCGGUUGAAACCGUAUGGCUAGAGUCCGGAAGAGGAGAGUGGAAUUCCCGGUGUAGCGGUGAAAUGCGCAGAUAUCGGGAAGAACACCCGUGGCGAAGGCGGCUCUCUGGGACGGUACUGACGCUGAGACGCGAAAGCGUGGGUAGCAAACAGG
This 253-nucleotide ribosomal RNA is filed under the name uncultured bacterium. RNAcentral's name for it is "partial 16S ribosomal RNA". It matches the Rfam family "Bacterial small subunit ribosomal RNA", at positions 524 to 776 of the family's 1533-position model. The record is from RNAcentral.